This 75-nucleotide transfer RNA is filed under the name Candidatus Falkowbacteria bacterium CG10_big_fil_rev_8_21_14_0_10_38_22. RNAcentral describes it as "tRNA-Val". It matches the Rfam family "tRNA". From Rfam's summary of the family: Transfer RNA (tRNA) molecules are approximately 80 nucleotides in length. Their secondary structure includes four short double-helical elements and three loops (D, anti-codon, and T loops). Lineage: Bacteria; Candidatus Falkowiibacteriota. The record is from RNAcentral.
GGGCUCAUAGUUCAUUGGUAGAAUGCGUCGUUGACAUCGACGAGGUGGUAGGUUCGAUUCCUACUGAGCCCACUA